Molecule: ribosomal RNA, 999 nt
Filed under: Triticum aestivum (bread wheat)
Lineage: Eukaryota; Viridiplantae; Streptophyta; Magnoliopsida; Poales; Poaceae
Description: partial small subunit ribosomal RNA
Source: RNAcentral
AUGCACUACAUCCCCAUCUUCUUCCUCCUGUUCUUGAGUUCAUUCUGCAAACCCGAUGACCAGCUCACACAAGCAAAGCCACUCACCGACCGCGACACUCUCAUCUCCGAGAGCGGUGACUUUGCUCUAGGCUUCUUCUCCCCGACAAGCUCCAACAAGAGUUUUUACCUUGGCAUAUGGUACCACAGCCUCCCCGGGCCACGGACCGCCGUGUGGAUCGCCAACCGAGACAGCCCAAUCACCAACCCUUGGUCCAUGAUGCUCGCGGUAACUAACAAUUCUCGCAUGGUAUUAUCUGACUCUGAAGGCCGUAAUAUUUGGAUGGCAGCAAGCAAUAUCACCACUGGAGCGGCAGGAGCUUAUGCAGUACUAAACAACUCGGGGAACUUUGUUCUCCGUUCGUCGAACAACAUGGACAUAUGGCAGGGUUUUGAUCAUCCAACCGACACAAUACUUCCAACCAUGAGAUUCUUGGUGAGCUACAAAGCACAAAUCAUCGCACGCCUUGUUGCUUGGAAGGGCCCGGAUGACCCAUCUUCUGGGGACUUCUCAUGCAGCGGCGACACAAGAUCCCCAGACCUUCAGUUGGUAACUUGGAACAAGGCUAGGUUAUAUUGUCGUAUCAUUGUGUUGGACGGUGUGUCGGUGUCCGGUGGCACACUAAACAACACUAGCUCCAUCUCGUACCGAACAAUUGUCACCUCUGGAGACGAGUUCAGUUACAGGUUCACUGUUUCCGACAACUCACCAUUCAGGCGCAUGAUGCUUGACUACACUGGCAAGUUGAAGAAUCUAGGUUGGGACAAUCACUCUGCGUCGUGGAUAGUCAUCAAUGAGCUUAUGAGCACCCCAAUAGUGCUUGCGAUCUCUACGCCUCUUCUGGCCCGUUUGGCUACUGUGACUUCACUGAGGCCAUUCCAACAUGUCAGUGCUUUGAUGGGUUUGAGCCCAUCGACAGUAGUAACUCUUUUAAAGGAUGUCAGAGAAAAGAAGCGCUGA